RNAcentral lists this transfer RNA (62 nucleotides) under Oulema melanopus. RNAcentral's name for it is "tRNA-Thr". It matches the Rfam family "tRNA". From Rfam's summary of the family: Transfer RNA (tRNA) molecules are approximately 80 nucleotides in length. Their secondary structure includes four short double-helical elements and three loops (D, anti-codon, and T loops). Further hydrogen bonds mediate the characteristic L-shaped molecular structure. tRNAs have two regions of fundamental functional importance: the anti-codon, which is responsible for specific mRNA codon recognition, and the 3' end, to which the tRNAs corresponding amino acid is attached (by aminoacyl-tRNA synthetases). tRNAs cope with the degeneracy of the genetic code in two manners: having more than one tRNA (with a specific anti-codon) for a particular amino acid; and 'wobble' base-pairing, i.e. permitting non-standard base-pairing at the 3rd anti-codon position. Lineage: Eukaryota; Metazoa; Arthropoda; Insecta; Coleoptera; Chrysomelidae. The record is from RNAcentral.
GUUUUAAUAGUUUAAAAAAAACAUUAGUCUUGUAAACUAAAAAUAGAGAUUUCUUUAAAACA